Molecule: ribosomal RNA, 318 nt
Filed under: Triticum aestivum (bread wheat)
Lineage: Eukaryota; Viridiplantae; Streptophyta; Magnoliopsida; Poales; Poaceae
Description: partial small subunit ribosomal RNA
Source: RNAcentral
AUGCCUCCUCCUCAUCCCCAGCUGGCGGCUCGACCUCUCGCGCCCUCGCCGCCAUCAACCUCUCGUGCCCUCACAUGCCAGCCGCCGAUCUCCCGCGCCCUCACCCGCCAGCAGCCGAAGUCGCUCUCCCCCACCGACCGCCGUGCUCGGGAUUUAUGGCUGCUCCUUUGCCUCGCCCAUCUAGAUCCGCCAUCGCCUCCCUCCCUUGCUGAUGUUCAUCUUAUCUAUUUAUGCAGGGGGGCUCGUCCUUCCGUGGUGCUCAGCCACCGUCCGAUUUGGAGGGAGAAUAGGAGACCCCAACGAAAACGAGCGUGCUAG